Molecule: long non-coding RNA, 17866 nt
Filed under: Homo sapiens (human)
Lineage: Eukaryota; Metazoa; Chordata; Mammalia; Primates; Hominidae
Description: non-protein coding LINC01136:8
Source: RNAcentral
AGUGCUAGGAACCUGCGCCCGGCUGAGCUGAGCGAGGCGAGAGGAGAAAGCGAGGCCCGGGGACGGGACUGAGAGCUCUGAAAGGAGGGAGGCGGCUCCCGAGUACUCCGCGCGGGGCAGGCCCCGGCCUCGCCUCUUCGCCCAUUUUUAAGGCUCGAGUUAGAGGCCACCUCCUCCGAGAAGCCUUCGGUGACACCACCUCUCCCAGACGGUUCCCCUUUCUGAUUCCCACAGCAUUUUCCAACCAUUCACGGUCAGAACCACUCACCAGGACGUGUUGUCACCAUUUUACCGCUUUGCCUCGUCUCUUAACUAGACGAAAUGGGUUCCUUUUGGCUCUUUGGAAAGGGAGGCUGUCUUCUAUUUAUUUCCGUGGUAAUCCCACCUCCCACAACAAGUUCCAUUCUACAGCAAUGUCUUUUCUCUUGCUGAGAACCAUUCAAGUCUAAGUUUUCUGGUGGGUAGGGGUAGGGGGUGUGUUGCAAGACUUUUGUCUUCUCAACUUAUUUUUCUAGUUCUCACUUUCCUUAAGUGCUAAUUUUUUUGAAUUAGUGGUCUGCUCUCAACUGUACGUAUUUUUCCGUCCACUCCCUCCUUCCCCCAGCCGUCUUCCUUCCUCAUUGUGGUUUGGACCUUCUCGAGAAAGAAUCUGGCCUCAGUCUCCCUCUUCCACACUCAGGGACCGCCACCAUCACAGGCACUCGGUAGAUGUCUGCUGAAUGAGGAUAACUUCUACCCAACACCGUGAAGCCUGGCCCAGGGUCUGGCAUACAGAUGCCGUGUUUGUAAGGUGACUAAAACCCAGUGGCCUCUGUAAAUUCCUAUUUUCCUUGGACUCUGAGCCCUCUGACCACCUUCUGGAAGCCGUGUCCCUGUCUUUUUUCCUUGUGCCCCAGGCUUCUCCACCCCCCUGUCUGGCUGUGCUGCCCCUGGAUCCCUUCGUGCCCCGUUCCCCGCACUAUGUCUCCUCAGUCCUCCUCCCUUUUCUCUAGGCUGCCUUUCCUUGGAGAGGUCCUAUGCAUGUAGCCUGUCUUGAUGUUUACUGUUUUACAGUGGCUUUUCUCAUCUGCAUAGUCUGUCCUCCUGUCUUUCCAUCCUGCUCCUGUUCCCACCGGCUCUGUCCUCUCCCUCAGAUGUCCAGCCACCACCUCAAUGUCAGCCGAAGCCCAGUGUCUCUCCAAAGCUCUUGAUCUCCAUUUCUGUCAGCGAUACCAUCAUUUCCCAGUCACUCCGUCCAGAAAGUCCUGGUUGCUCAUCUCGCCCACUUGCACAGCCCACCUGUGUGGCCGACUCAGGAUUGACCCACCUGCUCUCUUCAGGCCAUAUUCCCACGCAGAAGUGGGUCCCACUCCUCAGGCCUCUGUGCUGGCCCCGUCUGUGGGGUUAGCAAGCAGCCCUGCUCUCCAUUUCCAGCUCAGAAGCAACUGGAUCGUUACCUCAUUGGUGACAACUUGACUGUGCUGCCCAGAGCUGAUAAGAAACAUCACCCGGGGAAGACCAGCUGCCUCUUCCUUGCUUCCUAAUCAGGGUGGAAAUACUGCUAAAUAUAUCACAACUCUUUGCAAGCAUCGUUGGGUAAUGAUCGGGACAUCUUUGUGGGUUCCCUAUCAUUUUCUCACAAAGUUGAGCCUUUCAAGGUCAGUUCUAGGCCAGCCAGUCUGGGAGUCAUUCUUUAGAAUCAGAAGAGAAUUUAAGAAGAGGAGAAGAUAAGAUUGUCUCUAAAACCUGCUAAUGAGAACUACAGGAAGGUGGGGAUGCUAGCUACUUUUAAUAUUUCUGGUUUGAACCCCUUCCUCCACCCCAGAAUGAACUGAGAGUAGGUACAGAAAUAGAUAAUGCAAAGACGGUUAGGGUUGAGGGUAAGCAGAAAACUACCCAUCUAGACCGAAGGAAGGCUUGCUAACAUAUCAGUAAGCAAACAGCUUUCUAAUCUGCAGGUAACAAGUUUUACAUCCCUGAGGACACUUUUUGAGAUAGGACUUUGUUUGUUUGUUUGUUUGUUGUUUUUUGUUUUUUUGAGACAGAGUCUCGCUCUGUCUCCCAGGCUGGAGUGCAGUGGCAUGGUCUCGGCUCACUGCAACCUUCACCUCCCAGGAUCAAACGAUUCUCCUGCCUCAGCCUCCUGAAUAGCUGGGAUUACAGGUGCAUGCCACCAUGUCCAGCUAUUUUUGUGUGUGUGUGUGUGUGUGUGUGUGUGUGUGUAUUUUUAGUAGAGAUGGGGUUUCAUCAUGUUGGUCAGGCUGGUCUGAAACUCCUGACCUCGUGAUCUGCCCUCCUCAGCCUCCCAAAGUGCUGGGAUUAUAGGCGUGAGCCACCGGGCCCAGCCUGGGGCUUUUUGAGACCCUAUUGAAGGCUGAGGAAGAAUCUGGAAGCUAAAGAGUAACCCAUUCCACCACCUGCUCUGAAGAUAGAAGAAGCAAAAAAAGAUUAAAUUGUACAAAAAGCACUUAAAUUAGACAACAGAAGAAUUUCCUGAUACAAAGUGGGUGUCUAAGAUGUGUUAAACAAGAUGCCUGCUCCAGCCAGGACUCAGACACUCCUGGAUGGAGAGCAUCUUCACAGUUUGGGAUAAAAGUGACUAUACAGAGUGGUGGAGUGAAGGCUGCAGGCCCCUCCCCAAGGUGGCAUCUAACCCCGGAGGUAUCAGGACCUCAGAGGCUACCCACAUGAUUUCCAGCUGAUGAGCAGAAAUAGCUGUGGCAGGUGCAGGCUUCACUUGCUGCCACCAACAUGGGAGCUCACCAAACACCCAGUGGCCAAAAGAACCAGGGUCUCUCUAAGCCCUGGGCUCACCGCCAGGCAAGCUUGGGUGCUUGGGAGGGCCGUCGUUCUUCACAGUGCAGCCCCUGGAUUUCUUCUCAAUUUACUCAACUCUCUCUCUUGAAUCCCAUCUGUGCAGCUUAGAAGUCACAAAUUAGAACCCCCCAAGGCAAAGCUGACCAUAGAUACAAAUGGUUUUGUCUGUAUAGUGUUUAAGCACUUAAAAAAUUCAUUGUGAACAUUUAAUAAUUAGAAAGUGUCAAAAUGAAAAUAUCUAUAGUUUCUCUCUAAAAACCAGAAGAUCUGUUAACACUGAUCCCACACUUCUAUUUGGCAAUGACUGGCCCCUAAGACAGGGGGUAUGUCCUCUAGCUCACCACAGUCUCCACCUUUACCUACUGCAUCCCUGCUGAGACAAAGUGGUACAUGCCAUUUAUUAAGGAUGAAUGCUGUUUUUUUUAAUUAUACUUAAUCCUCAUUUGCAUUACCUGCCUUCAUUCUGGAGGUAUUUGAGUUUGCAUCUCCUGAUAAAGAAUAAAUCUCAAAAUUGUCAUCUCUAACUUCACCUUUAUUACAGAGCUUCCAAUUCAUUUUUUUCCAACUGAGAGCUGGACAUCUUUGGAGCAUUUUUCUGGUGUUUCAGUCUCAACAUGUAACAGAUCAAAGAUACUUCUCUCCCAUCUUCCUUGUUUCUUAGUUCUUUCUCUCUCUCCUUAGUAUUACCCUUCUUUUUCUGCUUUAAAAACCUUCAAUAGCUUCCCAUUGCCUGUAGUACUAAUUAAAAAUCUCUCAUCUGACAUUCAAAUGGCUGCAUACCAAGGGACCUUAGGAUACCCAUUCAAAUCACCCAGGAAGUUUGAUAAAAAUUCAGAUCACACAGCCUCUCCCUGAGAUUCUGGACCCACCCACCUCAAACUACUGAAUCAGUUAUUAAGUAUAUACAUACAUAUCAUAUAUAUAUAUGUGUGUGUGUGUGUGUGUGUAUAUAUAUAUAUAUAUUUUUUUUUAGAUGAAGUCUCACUCUGUCACCCAGGCUGGAGUGCAAUGGCGAGAUCUCGGCUCACUGCAGCCUCUGCCCCCCACCGAGUUCAAGUGAUUCUCCUGCCUCAGGCUCCUGAGUAACUGGGAUUACAGGUGCCUGCCACCACGCCUGGCUAAUUUUUGUAUUUUAAGUAGAGACGGGGUUUCACCAUCUUGGCCAGGCUGGUCUUGAACUCCUGACCUCGUGAUCUGCCUGCCUCAGCCUCCCAAAGUGCUGAGAUUACAAGCGUGAGCCACCUCACCUGGCCUUUAGUUAUUAGGUAUAUGAGAGGUAAUUUAUAGGAAGCACCUAGCAUACUACCUAAGUAUUAUAGAUGCUCAGCAAACCAUAUCUCAUAAUUGCCAACUGUCAGAAGCAGGGUUUUCAGAAAUAAUCUACACAAAAAUUUUAAUUCUUCAGAUGGAGAAAAGAAAGCCAUGAGAUGAAAAAAAGAUGUCCAAAGUUACACAGCUACUUAGUGGCAGGGCUAGGACUAGAACCUAGAUCUCCCACCCAGCCUAGGGCCCUUUCCAUUAGGCCAGAUUCCCAUCAUGUGACCCUGGCUUUAUUCAUGUAUUCACUUACUCAAGGAAUAUGUAUUGGGUUCCCCUGGGAGCCAGCGGUGGACCAUGGUGGGUUUGGGAGUUGGUAUCAGCAUUCCAAGUGUCUAUCUGGGGGUGAGGGCUGGAGGCUGAGUGCGUGAGAUGGCCACUUGGAGACACAGAGGAGCCCAGGAGCAGAAUGAGUUCAGCUACUCACAUAGAAGUUGAUGUUUCAUCAGGUGGUAGCAGGAAUUUAGAGUACAGAGAAAGGCCCUAACCCUCGCAGGGCAAGAUCUUUAGUCAAUGAGAAAGAGCGGCCGGGAGGGCCCAUGUUGAUGAGACAGUGGGAUAAAUGAACUUCGGAGAAAGGCAUGAGGAAUGAUGGCAGGGAAAGGCUAACAUAGAGCAAGACACAUUGGUCCCCACUGCCUCAUUCUGAGGAGUGUUGGGUGAGGCAGAAAAACAGGCUUCUCUUGACACAGCCUGUUUGAGGGAAUGCCAGGAGAUGGAGAAAAUGCUUGGAGGGGUGAGGAUAUAGGGGACUUUUCUGGGCCCAAAGGGGGCUCAAUGAAAGGGUUUGGAAAGGAGGGUGGUGAGAGUUAGACUACCACAGAGCACACCCACAGUGGAAUGGGGAUGAGAACAUGUGUCCUUCGGACAGUGACCAGCAUCCAUAGAGGGAGUGAGGAUUUUAGUCUUGUCUGGGCCUUGGAGGUGGCAACCAAACACAGGGUUCUAGGAGAGAGGCCUGGCAACUGAGACAUGAGACCCAGAGUGCUGCACAGGGCAGAGAAAGACAACCUCCAGGGAACUUCCAUUUCUGCUGUCAGGGGCCAGCCACUGCCUUGACGACUGCAGAGUGGUCUUCGUGUCUCGGAGGGACAGGGCCUCCAGGGUCCUGGAUGCAGGCUGUGUGCUCCCCUAACUCACCUCUUCAUCCUCUCCAUGUUACUCUGCAUCGCGUUGGCCCACACAGGCCCACUCUCCUGCUGCUGGGAGGGAGGGGCUGGAAAGUGUUAGGAAUUCAUCAAGCUUGUAACUAAAGCUGACUCUAUGCCAGGCCCCAUCUGGGGAAGGAAUCUGCUCCCCCCAAAGGCAUGUAUUCCCCUGAGGGUUGCUUCUCAGCUGCUGUGCUCUACUAACCCAGUAGUGUCUGUGGGAAGAUGAAUGAUCUGGGCUUCUCACCCUCCUUUGCCACCCUGGCUGUGUGGUCAGGGAAGGGUGAAGGCAAGAAGGAUGGCGGAGGGUACAGGAGAGACAGUGAAGACGGGAUGAGGUGGGAGCUGGGGAAGGGGAAGAGACGUGGACAGAUGGCCAGACCAAUAUGGCUGGAAAGGUCCCUAGUGAUGUGUUUUUGUUUCUGCGACUCCCUCGGUGUAUCAGGAGCAAAAGGAUGGGAACGAUCUGCUAAAAGUCUGUUAUCCUGGAGGCCCCCCAAGAAUGUGACCUCCCACACCUUCUCCCUCUAGGCCUUCUCCUAUGGUACGAGAAGGUGUGACUGAAAGUGCCAGAAACUCACAGGGGAACACAUGGACUUGGGACAGAAGCAGAUCUGAAGCUGAAUUUAUUGCCUCUUUCCCAAAUUUAGAAGACAGACAUGUUGUAAACCCUCCUCAUCCUCACUCCCAGGGGCCCAGGAUAAACCCCCUUUAUCUCCAGACAAAAAACAAGAGAAGAGGCCCUGAACCUAUUGGAGCUUCCCCAGAUGUUGUUUUGGCAGAGCCGUAAUGGGGCUGGGCCUCCUGGGGCUGAGUGUCUGGGGCAAGCAGGAAGCUGGCAUCACAGCUGUGACAGCCAGAGACCACCUGGGGGAUGGGGGCUGAAGGGAAGAGGAAGACAGAUUCAGAAAGGAGGACACAAGAAAAAGUCUAAAGAAGAGGUACUGCAGCUUCUCACCUGUGGCCUCCUGGCUCUGGGCCUGAGGUACUUCUCUACUGCACCAUGGGUUCAGGUCCAGGGAUCCGUGUGGUUUGGAGGAAGGAGCUAGGAGAAAGGGAGAGAUGGUUGGAGUUCCCUGAGCCUUAGUUUGCUUAUAUGUAACAAAAGAGUAUUGGGCUAGGAGACCCACCCUGCCUCUUAAUCUGUCAUCUAUGGUUCACAUUGAUGACUCCUUGGGUCCUAGUGGAAUACGUGAUCACCUGCCAGCAAGAGAGGAUUUUCCUGAUGAGGUGACAAGAUAUCCUGGAGCCCUACUUCCUGAGCGGAUCCCAUAUCCAAUUACUGGCCCAGUCCUGUCAGUUAUCCUCUUGAAAUACCUUCUACUCAGCAUCACUGAAGCCACCAACUGUUAGAUCGUUCUUGGAUAGUUUCAACAGUUCCCUAAGUGGUCUCUUUGCCUGAAGUGCUUCCCUUCCUGCCCUUUCCUCAGUCCAUACUCUGCUGUCAGAGCUCCUAAACUACAGGUCUGUCUUGUCUCUUUCAUGUUUAAAAGCUCUGAAGGCUCCCUACAGUUGAAAGUUUAAUUCUUGGUUUGGCCUUCAAGGCCUUUACAAUCUGGCCCAACCUCAAAGCUCAAUUAACCCAUUCUCAGUGUUUCUCAAAUACAUACUUUGCACUUUCAUACCAUUGUGCCUUUGUAGUUUCAACAGUGAGGUCUUGCCAUGUUGCCCAGGCUCUGGAGUGCUGUGCUUACUCACAGGCAUGAACAUAGCUCCCUACAGCAUCAAACUCCUCACCUCGAGUGAUCAUCCUCCCUCAGCCUCCUGAGUAGCUGAGUGCCCAGCUUAUUGUACCUUUACUCAUAUUAUUUGCUCUGCCUGAAAUUCUCUCUGUUCAGCUCUUUGUCCAUCAAAAAGCUGACUAAUUAUCUCCGUGCAAGUGAUACAGAAGGAGUGAAAACAUUAUUUUUCCCACAUUAUUGAAGAAAAAAGUAAGGAACAUAUAGGGCAAUGGACAUGUCAGGAAAGUCUCUAAAAAGGGGGCUGGGGUAGUGGGGUGAGAGUGGGCUAGGGAAGGGUGGGAAAGGAUUCUAAAUCCUACUUCCUCCAUCCCUUCCACUAAGAAUAAGGUUGGGGAGGAGUGGAAAGGAAUCUUUAUUUAGAUUAAGAAUGGGUGGCCUGAGCUGCUUGUUAUGAUAUAUUAGUCUUUUUUUUUGAGACAGGAUCUCACUCUGUUGCUUAGGCUGGAGUAUAGUGGCAUGGUCUCGGCUCACAGCAACCUCCAUCUCCCGUGUUCAAGCUAUUCUCCUGCCUCAGCUUCCUGGGUAGCUGGGAUUACAGCUGUGCGCCACCACACCUGGCUAAUUUUUGUUAUUUUUAGUAGAGACGGGGUUUCUCCAUGUUGGCCAGGCUCGUCUCAAACUCCUGACCUCAAGGGAUCUGCCCACCUCGGCGUCCCAAAGUGUUGGGAUUAUAGGCACCUGGCCUUAUAUCAGUCUUGUUUUGAUGAUGACUGGCUCCGAUGGCAUAUAAUUAUGCUUUUUUACAUUGGUGUCCCUGGAUGGGCUAAUUAAGUUUUUGAACUGACGGAUUUGUUCUAGUGCGAUGGGCAGAGCACAUCCCUUAAAGCCACACUGCUUAGGUUCAAAUCCUAGCUGUGCUACCUUAGGCAAGUUAUUGAAGCUUUCUGUGCCUUAAUUUCUUUAUCUAUAAAAUGAGAUUAAUAGUAAUUCUUACCUCUUAGAGUUGUUGGGAGAAUCAAAUGAGUUUACAAUACUUAGAAUAGUGUCUGGCACAUAAUAGUGGUCAGUACAUGUUAACUAUUAUUACUUAUAAUUUAUACUUUGCUUACUUCCAAGAAGAAUUUGAGACAGCUUAAAAUAUUAAACCACAUAGAGGAUGAUUUUAUGUGUGUGUUUAUAUUAUAUUAAAGAUCAGAAACGAAUUGGUAGUAGGAGGAAGAAAGAGAAAGAUAGAUAUUUACAAACUUGUUUGAAUCAGAUACUUCUUUGACACCUAAAUUUAUCUUUGAACUUCCAGGAAGCCAAGGUAAAAAGGGAAAUACCUGCAUUAUAUAGUUUUCAUUGUGAAAUAUAAAAAAGCAUUCAAGUUAGCCUGUUAAAACCCACCCCCACCAGCCCGCUACAUCCACACAUUCCUCAAGAAGAAAUUUAUGAUAUGAAUCCCUAUGUUGGAAUACUGGAGCCAAAGAGUCUGAAGUUGUUCUCAGUUGGCAUUUAGUAUCUUCCUCAAUUGGGUUUACCUUUCAUAAGAGCCCAUAACGACAACAGAAGUAAUCAGGAUAAUGGCUGGGAUAGUAACAAUCAAUAUCAUCUCUACAUUUCUUUCUAUCCUUAUUUCAGGGUUUCCUUCCUUCCCUCUUGGCUCAGGAACUCUCUGAGGUCAGGGGUUGAGCCUCGCUCGGUCAAAUAGUCAGGUGGCCCCAGGUGGUUUCAGCUGCCUCCCUGAAGCAUUAGAGUUGUGUAGAAGCAAGGUGGAACCCAUGGCAAAAACUCAUGAGGUGAAUGGAGACAGGAAGGUUAUGAGGUAUGUCUAAGAGGGCUUUGAGACGAUUGAGCUCCCAAACAUGUAACAGAAUGAUUAUCUUAGUGGGAAUGGGUAAGCUCCUAGAAAGAGAACAACUCUGUGUCCCCUAUUUUUUGAAUUCAGCAGAAUCUAUUGUAAGUCAAUAUCCUUAUGUAAAAACAUUGCAUAAGUCCAGGAAGACCACCACCACGAUCUUCCAGCCUGACCUGCCAGGCUUAAAAAAAGCGGCUCGGCCAGGCGCAGUGGCUCACACCUGUAAUCCCAGCACUUUGGGAGGCUGAGGCGGGCAGAUCACCUGAGGUCGGGAGUUCAAGACCAGCCUGACCAACAUGGAGAAACCCUGUCUCUACUAAAAAUACAAAAUUAGCAGGGCGUAGUGGCGCUUGCCUGUAAUCCUAGCUACUCGGGAGGCUGAGGCAGAAGAAUCGCUUGAACCUGGGAGGCAGAGAUUCCAGUGAGCCGAGAUUGUGCCAUUGCAUUCCAGCCUGGGCAACAAGAGCGAAACUCCGUCUCAAAAAAAAAAAGAAAAAAAAAGUGGCUCUUUGCCUACGAACUUACACACUCAGAAGCUUUGGACCUAUCUCGUUGAAUUCUUAGACAGGUUCAGAGGUGUGGCUGGAGGUUAGAGCUGAAUUACUCCACAGAAGAAAACAAGAGGAAUCUAUAUUUUUGUUCCUGAGAGAGAGCAGCAAAAAAAGGGGGCUUGAGUAACCUUAAAAUGGUGUUGGGAGGGCCUAGAGCCAAUGUGAGAGAGGAAGCCGAGGGAAGUUUAAGAACAGAAAUGCCCAACACUCCCUUUUUAAGCUCUUUACAUUUUUGCAAAAUUAACCCCCUCAGGAGACCCCAACCUUCACUAAAGCCCAUGAUGUAUAUACAGACCUUGUAAGGAAUUCAUAUGAAGAAACAAGAGACAGGCCUGACACGGCUCACAACAGUGAGAGCGCUCAGGGUCAGCAGGAUGAUUCCCAAAAGGAACUGACUUGAGAUCCCAAAGCCAGAGGCACUGAUGAGAAGGAAUGUCUUCUCCACCCUCCAUCCCCACUUCCAGGGGAAUCUGGAAUAUUUUGAGGAAAACUAUUGGAUCACUCAUCGAUCUUCGAAUAAAACAUUGAACCAAUCUUGCCCAGCACCUAAAGAGCAGUUGGGCACAGCUGACGAACAGUUUACCCACUGGGAGCAUGGAAUUAGGUGUCACCUUCAAAUACCUGAUGUUUAAUGAGGACAACCAUCUCCAAAGGGAGGAUACCUGCCUGCCCACUGUGCAGUCUACUUCUUGGCUACCUAGCACAGUCCUCCCUGAGAGAGGGUUCCGUGGGGGCUCGUUGAAGCCAAUGAGUGGGGAGGAGAAAUGCUGCAGAAAUUUACCAUGUCUGGCUGGCCCUAUGGCUCACUGCCAUUUAUGUAUGGGUCACAUGGGUCACAAAUCAAUCACUUGACCUCGUGAUCUGGAUACCUUUUGUCGUCUUUGUCCUAGAGUGAUAAGAGGAAGGAGAUUUAGUCCCCACCCUCAGAGGUAGAGAGUGUGGGUUCUUCAUUCUGACUGGGGAGAAACGGUUCCUGCCCACAGGACGCUGCAAGUUCCCAAGGAGGGAGAAGCAUCCACAUCGAGGACACAGACGCAAAGCUGCCAGGAGACAGGCAAAUAUGGGCAGAGCCACACUGCACAAACACGAUUCACAAUUAACCAAGGAGUUGGAGUGAAGGUGUCAGCAGGAAAUAGCUUGUUGGGCCUGGGAGUUUUGAGCUGAGCUGGAUUUGGAAGGAAAGAGUUCUUACUAGCAGCAACAGAAGACAGUCAUGUGCUGCACAGUGUCCAGUACUGUGCGAGGCGUUUGCACGAUGACCGCUCACCCGCGGUUCCCCUCCCUGCUGGAAGGAUCAUCUCCAGCAUGCUCACCACUUGCUUACUAACAGAGGCCCCAGACAAACAGCUCGCCACAGUACACACAAGAGGCAAACUCCAGAUGACUUUAUUUACACAGCUUAAGCUUUUCAACAGGGUCAAAGGGCAUUCUCACAGCACAUGGGUGUGGCCCGGGAAAGGCAGGUUCUGGAGGGGGCUCCUGAACAGGUUCCUCCUCCCUGGCACCAAGUGACCACCUGUAAGUCUGAAUAGCACUUUACAGCUUGCAAAGCUGUUUUACACCAAGCAGAACACUCAUCUAGUCCUUACAAGGCUCGAGGGCAGUAUCCUCCAUAUUUUAUGGAGAAGGAAGCUGGGGCCUGAAGAAUUAUGAGACAAAUUUAAGGCCCCAAGGCAGAGGCAAGGAUGUCCUUUCUACCACCCAACAGUGGCCUAGCAUCACAGCCUUCCGGCCGUAGACUUUGGGAUGCAGAGCAUUCAGGGACUAUCAGAGUGCAUCAGUGAAAGGCCACCUGGUCAUCUGCAUUUCAAUCUAGCUCUGCACAUUUCAUGAGAAACCCAAAGAGGGAGGAUGCAGAGCGACAGCGUCUGGGAAGGCUGCCCGCCUGGGCUCUGGCUCUUGAGAGGAGACAGGGAGGCUGGCCUCCCUUUUCCAAAUGCGGGUCACCUUUGCCCCGGCCUGGGCAUUGUUUGGGAGAGGAGAGCCUGGCCCUUGAUGGCUGGCAGCUGUUGCCCUCCCCAAGAGCGCCCCUGCCCUGCCGGCCCCUCCGGAGUCUGUGCCCAUAUAAGGGAAGCACUUCCCGGCAGCUGAGGUAGAGGCUGUGACGCCCCCAGUCCACGUCAGCGGCCGGCGGGAGGCGGGAAAGCCCAGCAGAAAAACAAGUGACGCGGCGCGGGAGGGAGGCGGUGGGUGGCAGGUGGCGGGAGGGAGUGGCCGCGCCUGCCUCGUUAACCCCUGCCCAGGCAGCUGGAGCCAAGGACUGAGCGCAGCCAGCCAAGGUUGUGGGCUGUCUUUGCCCUUCUGUGUGAAUGGGGGUGUGGAGUGGGGAAAGUCGGGGGCCAGGGGCUGCGCUGGUGACACCUGCCUGAGCACUUCUGUCCUGGGGUGGGUGCAGGUGUUUGUGCUCUGGAGGACCUGCUCUUUGGGCGUCCAAAUGUGUUUCACAGCCUGUGCAUUUUGCCUGGUGGUGUCAAGGACGCAUAUGACAUGGACAGCCAUGGUGUGUAUUUUUACUGCAGAGCCCAGGGAUUUUCCCAUAGGUGUUUAAAGACAAUCACAUCUCCUAUUGAAACUCAAUCUCUUCUGUCCUGAAACAAGCAAAUAAAAAGAAAAACUGGCAUCUGUGUUUCCAGAGAAUCCCAGAAAGUCUCAGAAGAGGCACUGCUGUAAGGCGACUGGCUUCUCAUUAGCCAAGUGGCCUCCCCAUGUCUUCCCCAGACCAGUCAAAUAAAAAGGUCUGGCCUAGGGGCUGACGGAGAAGCAGCCUGAAAAACGAGGGUUUCCAGAGGCCUCCUGCCAGGCAGAGGCCAAGAAAAAAACAGAAAAGGAAGAGAAACUGCGAUGAGAACUCAGGGCUCAUCAUGGAGCCUUCACUGUCCUGGGGCAGGUUGGGGGAGGCGCUCUGAUUUCUGAGUCCAGCUGAGCACUCAGAUAAAGCCUGUUGGAGUGCUGUUCUCAGAGGCCUGCCUCGUCUCGCCUGAAAUUAUGGGUGUGCGUGCCUGCCUGUGGUGGGUUGGGGAGUAAAUUGGGUAGCUCAGCCUCCGGGGAAAGUCCCCAGGGCCUCCCAACCAUCCCUUCACACCCACAGUGCUUAGCCACCCACAUUCGCUCCUCUAUCUAAGGUCUACUUCCUCUCUCUACUUCCCCUGGCCCAGUCUCUCCACGGUAGAGAGUUGUCUGGGGGGACAACUCACCCCAUCCCCAAGCUCUGGGUGCUGUGAUAGAGUGGGAGUUUGAGGCAUGAAAAAUAGCUAGUGGCCCUCCUUGGCAGGGCAUUGGCCGAGGAUGUGGCAAGUUUGCUUUGGCUGUGGGCACGGUCCCUGUCUCUGAGGCUUACCCUCACGGUGGCUGGUGAACAUGGUUUUAUGCCUGGGAAUUUUAAAGGAUGUGGGAGGGGCCUUCCUUCCUCAGGAGCCAGUGUCCUGGGACUGGAUGAUACCAAAGGUGUUGAAGAAUAAAAACAAUGGGGUAAUGUUUGUGUUUCUGCCUGGACAGUACUGCAUAGCGGUUAUGGGUGGGCUUUGGGGUCAGAUGGGACCUUAGCUCUGCCACUUGCUGGUAGGUCUUCUGGCAAGUUCCUAACCUCUCUGAGCCUCAAUUUCCUUGUCUGAAAAAUAGAAGUAAAAGUAUUAAUCGUAUUGAUUCUUUUUUUUUUAGGCAGGGUCUCACUCUGUCACCCCAGGCUGGAGUGCAGUGGCAGGAUCACAGCUCACUGCAGCCUUGACCUUCUGGGCUCACGCGAUUCUCCCACCUCAACCUCUGGAGUAGCUGGGACCACAGGCAGGCAACAUCACACCUGGCUAAUUUUUUGGGUAUUUUUUUGUAGAGAUGGGGUUUUGCCAUGUUGCCCAGGCUGGUCUGAAACUUCUUGAGCUCAAGCAAUCCAUCUGCCUCGGCCUCCCAAAGUGCUGGAAUUAUAGGCAUGAGCCACCGCACCUGGCCUGUAUUGUUCUUUUGAAGAUAAAAGGAGAUCACGUUUAUUAAGCAUUCUGCACAUAUGUUCACUCUUUCCACAAUAUUUGCACACCCAGCGCAUAGUAAACACAUUAAAUAGUGGCUUUUAUUACUAUUAGCAGUGGUAGCAGUAUCAUAAAAGUCCUCAAGGACACCACAUGGAGAGUUAGUCGGAGUCACCAGGUGUUCCAAGUUUGCCUUUGGCGGUCUCCUGCCUCUCAGCUUUCUUCGAGGUUGCUCUGGUACCUCAUCACCUCCACCACCUCCUCCACCAUCCCGACCUCAGCCUGGCCUGGAAGAAAGUGCAAUGAGUGUGGAAGCACAAGACCGAUGCUUCCACCCCAGCUUUGCCCUGCCCUGGGCCAUUCCACCCUUCUGAGCCUCCAUUUCCUUAUCACUGAAAUGGGGAGAAUACUUUCUGGCUGGCUUCGUUUAUUGUGAGAGUCAAGAGAAUAAACGUUUGUGAAAAUACUUUGAAAACAGCCCCCACCUAUCAGUUCUCCACCAGGUGAAUUCUCCCCUCUCAUCCUCGGCACCAGCUCCUACCCCAUUCCUCCCCUUCGAGUCUCUCUCUGUAGAUUUUCAUGGCUUUGGGCAUUUUGUUCACAGCUCUGUUGACAUUCCCUUGACCUCAGAAUUCUGGAGGUGCCUUAAUUCCGACUUCCCCUAUAGACGCCUCCUCAGGGCAGGAAAUAUGCCUUAUUCAUUCAUCCUGUGAUUCCAGUGCCAGGCCCAGGAAGGGCACAUAGUAGGAGCUCAGUCAGCGCUGAUUCCCUUUCUUCUACCAGCAAAUCCCAGGGAUGGAGGCCUGAAAAAGAACCCAGUAGAAUUUAGGGGAGCAGACUCUGUCCUCCAAGAGAGAGGGGUUGGGGAAGAAGGGAGACAGGAGGAAAGGAGGGGAGUGGCCCUUUGCUAUGCAGGCCAAAGGAUGCCCGCUGUCACCACACACAGGCGCAAGGUAAUACCAGUCUCCAUAGGGUGACAUGGUGCUGACUGGUUUUACUCAGCGAUCCCAAGGCUGGGAGAACCUCUGAGAGCCUCAGCAGAGGGCCAAGCCACUCUUCCUGGUAGGAAAGCAGACAUUCUGCCUAAAAGGGAAGUCCUUGGGUAACAAGUUCCACUUCAUCACAGCCAGGGCACUAACCUAAAACCCUACCCUCUCCUCCUCCCCCACCGCACAGGCAAACCAUUUCCUCUUCUGCUGAGCUCAUGGAAACAAAGAACAGCUGUCCUCUCAUUGAUUGGUUUAAAAAUAAGAGACUCUUGCUUUACCUCCCCAACCCCCCACCCAGACCUCUGAUGACCAAACAUCUCAGCACAGUCCCCCUCAGGCCUCCACCCACUCCCCUGGGGACAGAGGGGCAGCCCCUGGGCCGCCCACAGGCUCCCUCCUCCUCCCUGUGGGGACCAGCCUCUGCCUGCCACUGAGCCACACCCGUCUACCUUCGGUGGGGUGACUGCAGCUGCCCAGCCACUGGCUCUUACCAGUGUGGCCUUGGCAUUCACACUUUGGCCACCAUAAUUUUGUCUCUGCAGUGGGCCUUGCACAAGGCUGGGAGGAAACAGCCUCUGUAGAAAUCAAGGUUUCCUGCUCUGUGAGGGCUGAUGCGGUGCCAUGGAGAUACUUCCUGUGACUUUGCCAGGCAAACUGGAGGCCAGGGGAAAGAUCGGGAGUGUGAAGUCCUGACUUCUCAGCUACUCAGAAACCCCUCUAAGCCUCGAUGUUUUCAUCUGAAAAAUGACAGUGGCAAACUGCUUAUAGAGGGACUGUCAGGAUCAAACGAGAUAUGGUUAUGAAGGCGCAUUGAAAACGGUGCCACCAUGGACACACGAGUUGCUAUUUCUGCCUGCCACCUCCACAGACCCCAGUUCACCACCAGCUGCAAUCUCUACAAGUGGCCCUGCCUUCCUGAAAACCCCAAACCAAGACUUGCCUCCCUGGGCAUCUGAGUCCACCCCAUCCUCUCUCCUCGGGCUUACUUACUCAACCUACACCACAGGGAAAUGCACCAGUUGCUUAAGAGGUGUGGAAAGUUUCCUCCAGUUUUUUCCAUGGUUUGUGUGCUUGUCUUACCUGUCCCGCCUCCUUCCUAGCACCGUGGGAGUAUAAGCUGGCUCCUCUGCAAUGGAUCCGUGGCCAGUACCUCUGUUCCCUCACAGCACAGGAUAACAAUAAGUGUGCCAAAUGGAAGUGUGCGUGUGGGAGAGGGCACACAGCCAGAUGGCUCCUUGGGGCAAAGCCUUAUUUCUACCACAUAGGACUUUGUAGACAAUCACUCUCUGGCUAUAGAGGGGUUUUGUGCUCAUUUUCUGUUGUGAAUCAAGCUAAUUUUGGAUUCACUGGGAUACAAUAGUGAACUGAAAGGCAGCUGCCUGCAGGAGGAGCUCAGAGAACCAAGCAGAGCCAAGCCCUGGGAAGCCUUUUAGAGGAAGAUUUGCAGAGAAGGAGUGUGACAGUCAUAAGUGUCCCACGCUCUCAGUCCUCAGCAGGCUGUCCCUCCCAGUCCCAGGUUCACCUUGCAGAGGUGUGGUGGAGAACAAGCGUGCCCAGCAGCUUCCCGUCUGAAAGCCAACUGGCACAGCCCACCUCCAGUGGGCCACCCAUGUUUCUGGGGCCAAUGAGCCUCUGAGCUGGGAGGUCCUGGCCAAAGAAAUGCCCUCCUGCCUCAGAGAACAGAAAGUUCCAGAAGAUCCAGGGUAGCUUUAUUCCUGACUUAGCAAGCAGACCUAGAAGUGGGAUGGAGAAGGGCUUUUGAAUCUCCCUCCAAAGGUCCAGAGAAAUCUCCUUGGAAAUUUGAUUGAUUAUUGAUUAUUGUAACAAGAGUUUCUCCUCCCCCAGGAAGCUCACCAGAGUGGUCUUCUUCUAAUAGAGGCGGAACUGUGUGAUGGGUGGUCGGAGGUUCCGGCUGCUGUGCCAGACCGCUUGGGUUCAAAUCUUAUCUUUAACAGUUACCUAAUAUUCGCUGUGCUUCAGUUGCCUCAUCCAUAAAGUAGAAAUUACAAUGAUAUCUAUCACAUUGGAUUGUUUUUGAUUAAUGAGUUACUAUGUGCAAAACACUUAGGGCUCAGUAUUGUUAUUAUAAGAAAGAACUUUACUUAAGAGGCUUCCUAGUUUAAUUUCUCUACCAUUAUGAAAAGAAAUUCUCUCCCUGAUUCCGACACCUUUGUUUCUUUCUUUUUCUUUUUUUUUCUUUUUUCUUUUUUUUUUUAAGAGAAGGGGUCUCACCUUGUUGCCCAUGCUAGUCUCAAACUCCUGGGCUCAAGCCAUCCACUCACCUCAGCCUCCCAAAGUGCUGGGGUAAUAGGCAUGAUCAAUAUAUAAUAUAUAUGACAUUAUAUAUAAUAUAUUAUGUUUCUCCUGGCCUCUGAGCUCCAGGUUCAGCAAGAGGAGAAUGCUCAGUUCCUUCCUGUGGACUAAAAGCCACAGGAGACAUUCAUCAACAGCAAUGGGGUGAUGAGAGCCAUUUGGGAGUAUUAGGAAGUGGAAGGUCUGAGAACCUUUUCAAACUAAGAAACCCACCUGGCCAAGGUGUCCCUGACUUGACUCAUUCAGUCCCUAUCCUGCCAUAUAUUUAUUAUAACUAUAUUAUAUCCCAGAACUUUCACAUUUAUUGUGUUAUUUAAUCUUCAUGAUGAUCCCACAGAAUAGGCUAUAAAGAUCUUAUCAGAGAAGGCAACUGGGACCUUGGGACGGGUCUCCCACUUCCUGUCCUACUGAGAAGGAUCCUAUCCAUCUUUGCCCCAGGCCAUUCCACUGAGGAAGCUGCAAGGUGGUUCCAUGGAGGACCAGUUCAGAGUCCAUAAUAACAGGAUGACUUAAUGACAGGUUGAAUCAGUUUGUUAUUUGGAGCAGGCACUGCAGGGAAAGGGCUGGCCAUGUUAGACGUGGCUCAUCCUCUUCCCUCUUCAAAAACACUCCCACUUAAUGCUUGACCUCCCAGAAUCAAGGAAGUACGUGGCCUUAUUGCUAGAGCCAAAAUUUGCAGAGUCAAGUGCACAUCCAGCCUGCUAACAAGAAAUUCCAGGUGCCCUGAGGACAGUGGUGCUGGCCUCAAAGUCACAAGAGCUUUCUGGGUUUAGGGUCACCCUGCACUGAUUCUGAGGAAUUGGGAGUAAGACACAGACCCUCUCCAUACACUUGGCCUGGGAGGAUCAUCCUGCCCUGCUCACGGGGGAGAGGGACAGAGCCCGUCAGUCCCAGCCCCAGCUCUCCGGCAUGAUGCCAGAAGUCAGGAGCCUGGUGAACUCUCUGGCUCAGCCACCGACUCUCUGGGUCUCAGACUUCUUCAUUAUAAAGUGAGGAUGUCGGACUAACCGUACCUAAGAUAGCCGUGAGCUUGGACAGCCGGGAUGACCUUCUCUGUGCCAAAUUACCCUAAUUCCUUCCAUCUUGUGUCAUUUGCCUUCCACUUACUGGUCUUAUAUACAUCUUUUUAAAGGAUUUUAUCAGUUUAGUUAAAUUCAACAUUCUCCAAGCAGCUGGUAUACACCCGACAUUGACCCGAUACUGGAAAAUCAAUGGUGCUGAGAUAUCUGUUUUCAGAGUGCUUCCAGUCUAGCAGAGGAAGGCAGGCAAGAGAA